Molecule: non-coding RNA, 24 nt
Filed under: Arabidopsis thaliana (thale cress)
Lineage: Eukaryota; Viridiplantae; Streptophyta; Magnoliopsida; Brassicales; Brassicaceae
Source: RNAcentral
AUCGAUGUCGGGAUGUCGUUAAUC